GACGAACGCUGGCGGCGUGCUUAACACAUGCAAGUCGAACGGUGAAGGGGUCUGUUUUUGUGGGCCCUGGAUGAGUGGCGAACGUGUGAGUAACACGUGAGUAACCUGCCCCCUUCUUCUGGAUAACCGCAUGAAAGUGUGGCUCAUACGGGAUGUUCUGGGUCUGUCGCAUGAUUGGUCUGGGAAAGAUUGCGCCUUGGGGUGUUUGUGGUGGGGGGUUGGCUCGCGGCCUAUCGGCUUGUUGGGGGGGUGAUGGCCUGCCAAGGCGGGGACGGGUGGCCGAGAGGAGGGGGUGGCCGGUCACACUUGGGCUGAGACACGGACCAGACUCCUACGGGAGGCAGCAGUGGGGAAGAUUGCACACUGGGGGCAAGCCUGAUGCAGCGACGCCGCGUGAGAGAUGGAGCCGUUCGGGUUGUAAACCUAUUUCGCAAGUGAAGCAGGCCUGUUCUUUGUGGGUGGGUUGACGGUAGCUGGAGAAGAAGCGCCGGCUAACUACGUG
RNAcentral lists this ribosomal RNA (502 nucleotides) under uncultured bacterium. RNAcentral's name for it is "partial 16S ribosomal RNA". It matches the Rfam family "Bacterial small subunit ribosomal RNA", at positions 28 to 507 of the family's 1533-position model. The record is from RNAcentral.